CAUGCAAGUCGAGGGGAACGACAUCGAAAGCUUGCUUUUGAUGGGCGUCGACCGGCGCACGGGUGAGUAACGCGUAUCCAACCUGCCCACCACUUGGGGAUAACCUUGCGAAAGUAAGACUAAUACCCAAUGACGUCUCUAGAAGACAUCUGAAAGAGAUUAAAGAUUUAUCGGUGAUGGAUGGGGAUGCGUCUGAUUAGCUUGUUGGCGGGGUAACGGCCCACCAAGGCGACGAUCAGUAGGGGUUCUGAGAGGAAGGUCCCCCACAUUGGAACUGAGACACGGUCCAAACUCCUACGGGAGGCAGCAGUGAGGAAUAUUGGUCAAUGGACGAGAGUCUGAACCAGCCAAGUAGCGUGCAGGAAGACGGCCCUAUGGGUUGUAAACUGCUUUUAUAAGGGAAUAAAGUGAGAGUCGUGACUCUUUUUGCAUGUACCUUAUGAAUAAGGACCGGCUAAUUCCGUGCCAGCAGCCGCGGUAAUACGGAAGGUCCGGGCGUUAUCCGGAUUUAUUGGGUUUAAAGGGAGCGUAGGCCGGAGAUUAAGCGUGUUGUGAAAUGUAGAUGCUCAACAUCUGAACUGCAGCGCGAACUAGUUUCCUUGAGUACGCACAAAGUGGGCGGAAUUCGUGGUGUAGCGGUGAAAUGCUUAGAUAUCACGAAGAACUCCGAUUGCGAAGGCAGCUCACUGGAGCGCAACUGACGCUGAAGCUCGAAAGUGCGGGUAUCGAACAGGAUUAGAUACCCUGGUAGUCCGCACGGUAAACGAUGGAUGCCCGCUGUUGGUCUGAAUAGGUCAGCGGCCAAGCGAAAGCAUUAAGCAUCCCACCUGGGGAGUACGCCGGCAACGGUGAAACUCAAAGGAAUUGACGGGGGCCCGCACA
RNAcentral lists this ribosomal RNA (882 nucleotides) under uncultured bacterium. Its description in RNAcentral is "bacterial SSU rRNA". It matches the Rfam family "Bacterial small subunit ribosomal RNA", at positions 54 to 927 of the family's 1533-position model. The record is from RNAcentral.